GCCACCGCCUUGCAGUUGCAGUCCGCUCGCUUCGCGUGCGCAUGCGCUAGCACACAGCGGUUUGUUUGCUUGGUUUGCUUGAGGAUGAGAUUUGUGUUUGUGGUAGCGGUAAAGCAGCUUUGCCAAAUAUUCCGUUCAAGUUCCUCGCUGGAUGUCCCGCUCGUCCGUCGAUGUUCAACAGAUUUUCAGACAUGGAGAGAAGAAAUGCGCAGAAGGCAGCCAAGAAUCACUAAAGGCACAGGGAGAAGAACAUCAAAGAAGAAAGGUCCAUAAAAUCACAAGGUUCCAUCAGGCGUGGGGUAACCUGCAUUGAUGAUUCAUCUGCAACGUUCCAGACUGGCAAGGUUCCAGGACAUAACGGGAUGUAUGCUCCGGGGCCCCCACCAUCUCGCUCAUGAUCACAGCCGACAAUUAAGGCAUUAUGGUUUCAAAUUUCCAAAGAUUCUCUAAGAAGUGGCAUGCAGUUCAGAAUUUGUACGAGUACAACACAACAGCGUGUACAGCCUGAGACAAAAGUUCACGGCACUGCACUUUUCUUCAUCGGAGCAGUCCCCUGCCAGCUGCCAGCAAAAGAUCGAAUAAGAAACGGGUGACUAUCUAUCUCUCAGUAUGUGUGUCUGCUCUUGUUUGAUGCUAGGGUGUCACUCCAAUGGAGAAAUGUGACACCAUGGUGGUCCGUAAACUUUUGUACCAAGUUGUACAUUGUACAACCCCGACAACGAACAAACACUGCUCGGUAAGGUCAGUGUUCCAAUUUGAGAUUUUGCUGCCUAUUUCUUCCCCAAAGGCUGGUCUUGCAAAAAUGCUUAAGAAACUCAUUUGGGUGAACUCUGGUAUACCAAGACAAGUGCAGAACAUGAAAAAAUUUAUAGUUCGACUUUGAAGGCAGUAGUCAACAUAAAUAAGUUUUACCUCUAAGCGAUGAUUGCCCAUUCAAGGCAACGACAAACUCAUAGGUUCGCCACAUCAUCUACACUUCCUCGGCCUGAGUGGUUACAUGAACAGUGGAUAUUCAUCGAGCAUUUGUGAGGAGAUUGUUAGAGGAAUCAGUCAGACAUGUGUUUCAGACGAUUUUUUUCCAGUUUUUAGGUUUUUAUUGUUAUUCCAUGACAGUAUACACUGAUAACAGGACUGAGAGGGCAAGCCCUGUUGAACAGUCCAAGACACAGUCAAUGCAAAUGUCUACACAAUUUGAGGGGAACAGAAAUACCAAGAACACAUGACAAGUAUAAGAAACAAAUAGCAAAGGUAUUGCACAGCAGAGAAAUGUAAGUAAUCAAAAAGUAAUUGCAUGUCACCCUACGUAUCAGCAGAAAAGUCCUGUUUGAUGGUGUUUUUGAAGGAUGCCAGAUUAUUGUUGGAACGAAUGCAUAGAGCAGUGUUUCUCAAACUGUGCGUCAUGACCCCCAAACGUGUCAUGAGCCGUUGAAAGAUUCAUUGUUUCACGCACAACCAGAGGCGUAAAUCUCAAUCCAUGUUCAAAGCAUUAAUGGACUGUCAUGUGUUGUCACAUGACAAUACUGCAUUCAUGAGUAAACGAUGUAGAUGUGAAGGUCGUUAAGCACGAAUUCAACAGAAAUCCUCUGGUUGGGUGUAUUUCCUGCUGCUUGACACAUUGCUUUCUUCACACCACCUGUGCAUAGGGUUGCCACCAGGCCGGUAUUAUACCGGCACGGCCGGUUAUUUGCUCGCUCUGCCGGUUGCCGGUAGGAAGGUGAUACCGGCAACGGUAUUUGUGGCUCAAGACCUUUCAUAUAGGCUUUUGCGGGGUUUUCCCUUCAACAUUCCACUACAGCUUGAAUAAACAUAGACCCAACUCCGCAGUCACCAGUUCUUUCCUUAGUUAUUCAUUAUUAUUAUUAUGACACACAGGAACAUAUGUUUCCUGGUAUUAUCUUGAGCUCUCUCUCUCUCUCGUUUUCUGUGUGUGCCCUUCCACCCCUCACCCACUUCCCUUUCCCGCGAGCUUUUCCUCCUUUCCCUCCAUACCACCUCCUCUCCCUCAGCCGGUAUUUUUCACUACGAACGGUGGCAACCCUACCUGUGCAUCAAUAUUCGUACAGAUUGGGACAAAAGUUUACGGAGCAUCGGGGUGUCGCAUGUCUUCAUGGGAGCGACUCCCUAGCAGCAAACAGAAGCGGCCACACACACUGAGAGGUGCAAAGAACAGCCAGUCACCUGUUUCUUUCUCGAUAUUUUCCUGCCAGCCAGCAGGGGGCCGCUCCAAUGAAGUGCAAGGCAACAGGUUCAUUGAUAUGGUGUCCAGCUGGAAUUUGUGGUAUUUUGGAACGAUGUAUUGCUAACAAGCAAACGAGACCAGUAAAAAUAUCCAAAACUGGA
Molecule: long non-coding RNA, 2340 nt
Organism: Ornithodoros turicata
Lineage: Eukaryota; Metazoa; Arthropoda; Arachnida; Ixodida; Argasidae
Exons: 3
Source: RefSeq, a predicted model, not a curated record